GAUGAACGCUGGCGGCGUGCCUAAUACAUGCAAGUCGAGCGAACGGACGAGAAGCUUGCUUCUCUGAUGUUAGCGGCGGACGGGUGAGUAACACGCGGAUAACCUACCUAUAAGACUGGGAUAACUUCGGGAAACCGGAGCUAAUACCGGAUAAUAUUUUGAACCGCAUGGUUCAAAAGUGAAAGACGGUCUUGCUGUCACUUAUAGAUGGAUCCGCGCUGCAUUAGCUAGUUGGUAAGGUAACGGCUUACCAAGGCAACGAUGCAUAGCCGACCUGAGAGGGUGAUCGGCCACACUGGAACUGAGACACGGUCCAGACUCCUACGGGAGGCAGCAGUAGGGAAUCUUCCGCAAUGGGCGAAAGCCUGACGGAGCAACGCCGCGUGAGUGAUGAAGGUCUUCGGAUCGUAAAACUCUGUUAUUAGGGAAGAACAUAUGUGUAAGUAACUGUGCACAUCUUGACGGUACCUAAUCAGAAAGCCACGGCUAACUACGUGCCAGCAGCCGCGGUAAUACGUAGGUGGCAAGCGUUAUCCGGAAUUAUUGGGCGUAAAGCGCGCGUAGGCGGUUUUUUAAGUCUGAUGUGAAAGCCCACGGCUCAACCGUGGAGGGUCAUUGGAAACUGGAAAACUUGAGUGCAGAAGAGGAAAGUGGAAUUCCAUGUGUAGCGGUGAAAUGCGCAGAGAUAUGGAGGAACACCAGUGGCGAAGGCGACUUUCUGGUCUGUAACUGACGCUGAUGUGCGAAAGCGUGGGGAUCAAACAGGAUUAGAUACCCUGGUAGUCCACGCCGUAAACGAUGAGUGCUAAGUGUUAGGGGGUUUCCGCCCCUUAGUGCUGCAGCUAACGCAUUAAGCACUCCGCCUGGGGAGUACGACCGCAAGGUUGAAACUCAAAGGAAUUGACGGGGACCCGCACAAGCGGUGGAGCAUGUGGUUUAAUUCGAAGCAACGCGAAGAACCUUACCAAAUCUUGACAUCCUUUGACAACUCUAGAGAUAGAGCCUUCCCCUUCGGGGGACAAAGUGACAGGUGGUGCAUGGUUGUCGUCAGCUCGUGUCGUGAGAUGUUGGGUUAAGUCCCGCAACGAGCGCAACCCUUAAGCUUAGUUGCCAUCAUUAAGUUGGGCACUCUAAGUUGACUGCCGGUGACAAACCGGAGGAAGGUGGGGAUGACGUCAAAUCAUCAUGCCCCUUAUGAUUUGGGCUACACACGUGCUACAAUGGACAAUACAAAGGGCAGCGAAACCGCGAGGUCAAGCAAAUCCCAUAAAGUUGUUCUCAGUUCGGAUUGUAGUCUGCAACUCGACUACAUGAAGCUGGAAUCGCUAGUGAUCGUAGAUCAGCAUGCUACGGUGAAUACGUUCCCGGGUCU
RNAcentral lists this ribosomal RNA (1372 nucleotides) under uncultured bacterium. Its description in RNAcentral is "bacterial SSU rRNA". It matches the Rfam family "Bacterial small subunit ribosomal RNA", at positions 28 to 1381 of the family's 1533-position model. The record is from RNAcentral.